RNAcentral lists this ribosomal RNA (591 nucleotides) under uncultured Burkholderia sp. Its description in RNAcentral is "bacterial SSU rRNA". It matches the Rfam family "Bacterial small subunit ribosomal RNA", at positions 418 to 1003 of the family's 1533-position model. The record is from RNAcentral. Lineage: Bacteria; Pseudomonadati; Pseudomonadota; Betaproteobacteria; Burkholderiales; Burkholderiaceae.
UCGGGUUGUAAAGCACUUUUGUCCGGAAAGAAAACUUCUGCCCUAAUACGGCGGGAGGAUGACGGUACCGGAAGAAUAAGCACCGGCAACUACGUGCCAGCAGCCGCGGUAAUACGUAGGGUGCGAGCGUUAAUCGGAAUUACUGGGCGUAAAGCGUGCGCAGGCGGUUCGUUAAGACAGAUGUGAAAUCCCCGGGCUUAACCUGGGAACUGCAUUUGUGACUGGCGAGCUAGAGUAUGGCAGAGGGGGGUAGAAUUCCACGUGUAGCAGUGAAAUGCGUAGAGAUGUGGAGGAAUACCGAUGGCGAAGGCAGCCCCCUGGGCCAAUACUGACGCUCAUGCACGAAAGCGUGGGGAGCAAACAGGAUUAGAUACCCUGGUAGUCCACGCCCUAAACGAUGUCAACUAGUUGUUGGGUCUUCAUUGACUUAGUAACGUAGCUAACGCGUGAAGUUGACCGCCUGGGGAGUACGGUCGCAAGAUUAAAACUCAAAGGAAUUGACGGGGACCCGCACAAGCGGUGGAUGAUGUGGAUUAAUUCGAUGCAACGCGAAAAACCUUACCUACCCUUGACAUGGUCGGAACCCUGCUG